UGGUGGGGGGGAGGGGUCAGUGCUAAUGAGACAAUUCAAUUAACAGUAUAAUACCAAGGGAGGAAAAAUCACUUUUGUAGUGGUAAUGAGGGUGGCCCAUUUUCAAACAGUUGACAAGAAGGUGAGAGUAACAUUAGGGGGAAAUUAGUACAGGGAAAUUAAAUGUUGUAAUGUCCCAUCU
This is a long non-coding RNA of Dermochelys coriacea (leatherback sea turtle), 181 nucleotides long. RefSeq lists it as uncharacterized. Lineage: Eukaryota; Metazoa; Chordata; Testudines; Dermochelyidae. The record is from RefSeq and is a predicted model, not a curated record. The transcript has 3 exons.